ACCCGCUGAACUUAAGCAUAUCAAUAAGCGGAGGAAAAGAAACCAACAGGGAUUGCCUCAGUAACGGCGAGUGAAGCGGCAACAGCUCAAAUUUGAAAUCUGGCACCCUCGGGGCCCGAGUUGUAAUUUGCAGAGGGUGCUUUGGCGUUGGCUGUGGUCUAAGUUCCUUGGAACAGGACGUCGCAGAGGGUGAGAAUCCCGUAUGUGGCCGCCAGCCUCCGCCGUGUAAAGCCCCUUCGACGAGUCGAGUUGUUUGGGAAUGCAGCUCUAAAUGGGAGGUAAAUUCCUUCUAAAGCUAAAUACUGGCCAGAGACCGAUAGCGCACAAGUAGAGUGAUCGAAAGAUGAAAAGCACUUUGGAAAGAGAGUCAAAAAGCACGUGAAAUUGUUGAAAGGGAAGCGCUUGCAGCCAGACUCGCUCGCGGUUGCUCAACCGGGCACCAGCCCGGUGCACUCUUCCGCGGGCGGGCCAGCAUCAGUUCGGGCGGGUGGAUAAAUACCUGCUAAAUGUACCUCUCCUCGGGGAGGACUUAUAGGGUAGGUGGCAUACACCCAGCCCGGACUGAGGUCCGCGCAUCUGCUAGGAUGCUGGCGUAAUGGCUGU
This 603-nucleotide ribosomal RNA is filed under the name uncultured fungus. RNAcentral describes it as "eukaryotic LSU rRNA". It matches the Rfam family "Eukaryotic large subunit ribosomal RNA", at positions 23 to 641 of the family's 3401-position model. Lineage: Eukaryota; Fungi. The record is from RNAcentral.